Unclassified non-coding RNA from Rhinopithecus bieti (black snub-nosed monkey), 275 nucleotides. It matches the Rfam family "Metazoan signal recognition particle RNA". Rfam says of the family: The signal recognition particle (SRP) is a universally conserved ribonucleoprotein. It is involved in the co-translational targeting of proteins to membranes. The record is from Ensembl. NCBI's taxonomy places the organism in Eukaryota, Metazoa, Chordata, Mammalia, Primates, Cercopithecidae.
GCCAGGGGUGGUGGCUCACGCCUGUAGUCCCAGCACUUUGGGAGGCCAAGGCAGAUGGAUCACUUGAGGGCAGGAGUUCGAGAUCAGCUUGCACAAUAUGGCAAAACCCCGUCUGUACUAAAAAUACAAAAAUUAGCUGGGUUUGGUGGUGCGUACCUGUAAUCCCAGCUAAUCGGGUGGCUGAGACAGGAGGAUUGUUUGAGACUGGAAGUUGCAGUGAGCCGAGAUUGAGCAACUGCACUCCAGCCUGGGCAAUAGAGUGAGACUCUGUCUUU